Molecule: ribosomal RNA, 256 nt
Filed under: uncultured bacterium
Lineage: Bacteria
Description: partial 16S ribosomal RNA
Rfam family: Bacterial small subunit ribosomal RNA
Source: RNAcentral
CGUACCUACGGGGCGCAGCAGUAGGGAAUUUUCGUCAAUGGGCGCAAGCCUGAACGAGCAAUGCCGCGUGAACGAGGAAGGUCUUCGGAUCGUAAAGUUCUGUUGAAGGGGAAAAAGAGCGGAGAGAGGAAAUGGUCUCCGAUUGAUAUUACCCUUCGAGGAAGUCACGGCUAACCACGUGCCAGCAGCCGCGGUAAUACGUAGGUGGCAAGCGUUGUCCGGAUUUUUUGGGCGUAAAGCGACUGCAGGCGGUUUA